This 430-nucleotide ribosomal RNA is filed under the name Araneidae sp. B MG-2015. RNAcentral's name for it is "eukaryotic LSU rRNA". The record is from RNAcentral. Lineage: Eukaryota; Metazoa; Arthropoda; Arachnida; Araneae; Araneidae.
CGCAGCCAGCUGCGAGAUUUGGUGUGAAUUGCAGGACACAUUGAGCACUGAUUUUUCGAACGCACAUUGCGGCCUCGGGUUCCGCCCGGGGCCUCGCCUGUCUGAGGGUCGGAUAAGACUUGCCAAGGUGGCUCUUGUCACCAAUUGUCCGCUUCGGAGACUCUCUCGAGUCUUCGUCGGAUUAAGUACUUAUAGGUUCCUUCCCUGGUCGAAAUAGCAAAGAUGCCCUUGCGGAUGCUCGUCGACCGAGAAGACCGAAGUGUCUUCUCAACGAGGACGAGACGGCAUCGUUGUUGAGAAGGCCAUAAUGGGGGAUGCGUUCCUACCAGACGUCGUUAGUUCGACCUGGAAACUUUGAAAAAGGAGUCCUAGACUCUUUUCUUUAACGACCUCAGAUCAGACGAGAUGACCCGCURAAUUUAAGCAUAUC